RNAcentral lists this ribosomal RNA (410 nucleotides) under uncultured bacterium. RNAcentral's name for it is "bacterial SSU rRNA". It matches the Rfam family "Bacterial small subunit ribosomal RNA", at positions 28 to 431 of the family's 1533-position model. The record is from RNAcentral.
GACGAACGCUGGCGGCGCGCUUAACACAUGCAAGUCGAGCGAGAACCAGGCCUUCGGGCCUGGGGACAGCGGCGAACGGGUGAGUAACACGUGGGUAAUCUACCCUCGAUACUGGGAUAGCCCGGGGAAACCCGGAUUAAUACCGGAUAGCCUCUCGAGCUCUCGGGCUCGUGAGAAAAGGUAGCUUCGGCCUCCGAUCGAGGAUGAGCCCGCGGCGGAUUAGCUUGUUGGUGGGGUAAUGGCCUACCAAGGCGACGAUCCGUAGCUGGUCUGAGAGGACGAUCAGCCACACUGGGACUGAGACACGGCCCAGACUCCUACGGGAGGCAGCAGUGGGGAAUCUUGCCCAAUGGGCGCAAGCCUGAGGCAGCGACGCCGCGUGAGGGAAGAAGGCCCUAGGGUUGUAAACC